This 112-nucleotide ribosomal RNA is filed under the name Bacillus amyloliquefaciens. RNAcentral's name for it is "partial 16S ribosomal RNA". It matches the Rfam family "Bacterial small subunit ribosomal RNA", at positions 1 to 109 of the family's 1533-position model. RNAcentral also lists the same sequence under 2 other names. The record is from RNAcentral. Lineage: Bacteria; Bacillati; Bacillota; Bacilli; Caryophanales; Bacillaceae.
UUAUCGGAGAGUUUGAUCCUGGCUCAGGACGAACGCUGGCGGCGUGCCUAAUACAUGCAAGUCGAGCGGACAGAUGGGAGCUUGCUCCCUGAUGUUAGCGGCGGACGGGUGA